AUUUUCUCCGACGUUAGUUAACAGUUAACAAUAAUAAUUAUUUCAUAAGUUUCUUUAAUAAGUUGAAUAUAAAAAGUAUAAGCUCAAAAAUCAAGAAAAUUAAUAAUAUAGGGGAAACAUUGCCAAGUGUAAUAUUACGAAUCCCUUAUUAAUCGAAUUCAAUGAAAAUACAAAAGUCUUUUAGUGAAAUUCGAUUUAAAUGUACCCAAGUGACAACAAAUAGCUCUAGUAUGAUUAGUUUUUAAGCAAU
Daktulosphaira vitifoliae (grape phylloxera) is the source of this 250-nucleotide long non-coding RNA. RefSeq lists it as uncharacterized. The record is from RefSeq and is a predicted model, not a curated record. NCBI's taxonomy places the organism in Eukaryota, Metazoa, Arthropoda, Insecta, Hemiptera, Phylloxeridae. The transcript is spliced from 3 exons.